UCUUCUGUGAUGAUUUAAGACAGUGACUUUCGUUCUUCUGAGUCUACUGAAGCUAAGAUUUCUGUCCUGAGGAGA
Poeciliopsis prolifica (blackstripe livebearer) is the source of this 75-nucleotide small nucleolar RNA. RefSeq annotates it as small nucleolar RNA SNORD59. Lineage: Eukaryota; Metazoa; Chordata; Actinopteri; Cyprinodontiformes; Poeciliidae. The transcript has a single exon. The record is from RefSeq and is a predicted model, not a curated record.